Molecule: long non-coding RNA, 968 nt
Organism: Capsicum annuum
Lineage: Eukaryota; Viridiplantae; Streptophyta; Magnoliopsida; Solanales; Solanaceae
Exons: 3
Source: RefSeq, a predicted model, not a curated record
GCCCAUUAUGGGUAUGCCAUUUUUCUCUGUCUUCUCAGAUCCUUUUUCUUGGUUACUAUACUAUAGAAAUAUAUCUUUCUUGCUUCAUUCAUUUUGUCAUUGUAUUUGCUGCAGUAGAAGAAUUUAGUUUGCAGUCCAUUAAACCUUUAUCUGGCACUAAGAGCAGUACAAGCAUUUAGUUUGCAGUCCUUUUAACCUUUAUCUGCCGCUAAGAGAAAUAAUGCAGAAGCAGGAUAUGGGAAUAGGAAUCAAACAUCAAGUUAUAGAAGUCAAGGAUACAAGAACAAAAGGUGUGAUUACUGCAAUUUCACUGGUCACACAAGGGAGAAUUGUUACAAGCUGCAUGGAUAUCCUAAUGACUGGAGAAACAAGAAGAAAAACAACUACAACCCAAGGGGAACAACAAAUCAACCAUUUUAUAGUGGUCAAGGCAGAACUGGAGGAUAUGGGCAAUCAGCCACUGGUCACAAUAACAAUCAGUUAUCAGCUAACAGUUUCCUUAGACCUAAGGCAUAAAAUUCAUGCUUGAAUGAUCAGUCAAGCAGCCAGGGUAAUAAAGAUAUCAACAAUGCUGUUGUAGCAAAGGCACAAGGCUUCUCAGAAGAAGAAUACAGAUAAAUCAUGACAUUGAUUAACAAGAAGACACAUGACUAAGAACAACCUAACAUGACAGGUACUGUUACUUGUUUAUUUAGUCAUAGUGUUCCACAUGAAUGGGUAGUAGACUCUGGAGCCACACAUCAUGUUGUAGCAUACAAAGAUGUUCUUUCAAACUAUCACAAAAUGGAUAACUCCAUAUGUGUUAAAGUCAAUUUACCUACUGGAGCCAAAGUUGAUAUAUCACAUGUAGGGAAGCACAUGUACUUAAAUAUAAGGUUGUACGAGAUGUGUUAUAUGUCCCAAAUUUUAAGCUGAACUUGCUGUCAGUGUCUAAAAUGACUAAGCAGCUAUCUUGCUUUGUUACUUUC